AGAGUUUGAUCCUGGCUCAGAGCGAACGCUGGCGGCAGGCUUAACACAUGCAAGUCGAACGGGCGUAGCAAUACGUCAGUGGCAGACGGGUGAGUAACGCGUGGGAACGUACCUUUUGGUUCGGAACAACACAGGGAAACUUGUGCUAAUACCGGUUAAGCCCUUACGGGGAAAGAUUUAUCGCCGAAAGAUCGGCCCGCGUCUGAUUAGCUAGUUGGUGAGGUAACGGCUCACCAAGGCGACGAUCAGUAGCUGGUCUGAGAGGAUGAUCGGCCACAUUGGGACUGAGACACGGCCCAAACUCCUACGGGAGGCAGCAGUGGGGAAUAUUGGACAAUGGGCGCAAGCCUGAUCCAGCCAUGCCGCGUGAGUGAUGAAGGCCCUAGGGUUGUAAAGCUCUUUUGUGCGGGAAGAUAAUGACGGUACCGCAAGAAUAAGCCCCGGCUAACUUCGUGCCAGCAGCCGCGGUAAUACGAAGGGGGCUAGCGUUGCUCGGAAUCACUGGGCGUAAAGGGUGCGUAGGCGGGUCUUUAAGUCAGAGGUGAAAUCCUGGAGCUCAACUCCAGAACUGCCUUUGAUACUGAGGAUCUUGAGUUCGGGAGAGGUGAGUGGAACUGCGAGUGUAGAGGUGAAAUUCGUAGAUAUUCGCAAGAACACCAGUGGCGAAGGCGGCUCACUGGCCCGAUACUGACGCUGAGGCACGAAAGCGUGGGGAGCAAACAGGAUUAGAUACCCUGGUAGUC
This 743-nucleotide ribosomal RNA is filed under the name uncultured bacterium. Its description in RNAcentral is "bacterial SSU rRNA". It matches the Rfam family "Bacterial small subunit ribosomal RNA", at positions 8 to 795 of the family's 1533-position model. The record is from RNAcentral.